This is a long non-coding RNA of Biomphalaria glabrata, 1641 nucleotides long. RefSeq lists it as uncharacterized. The record is from RefSeq and is a predicted model, not a curated record. The transcript is spliced from 3 exons. Lineage: Eukaryota; Metazoa; Mollusca; Gastropoda; Planorbidae.
AAGGGGGUCAACGGGUCAAAAAUAAUCAUUUUUCAUUAAAAAAAUCGAUUUUUCAAAAGUUGCAUAUUAUGUUAGAAUAAUAUCUUAUAAAUGGUAUAGUUUAGCUAAAAUCAUUAAAAUAAAGGUAUUUUAAUGUAAAAAAUGAGUUUGAAAGGGGUAGGGGUAAGCUAAUUUUGCUCUAAAUGUUGAAAAAAUCGCCGUUUUACGAUGCCGAUUACCGCGUAGCCCGCCGUAAAAGUGGGUCAUGUUUGGUGUCUUUGAAAAGCCUACGGUCAGCUCUACAAGUCCAUUUCAAUGACUCAUUCAUCUAAAAAUAACCUUAGCCUUGAAACUAGUUCAAACUAGACCACUACACGUGUCUCUAUUCAAAUCCGAUUGGAUCAUGAUGUAUAUUUAUGAAAUAAACGCUUUUGAUUGGUUCCUUCCGGCCAUGUGGUUCCGAUGUUUACAGCAACAAUGAUGGCGUCCGUGAAUCGAUAGGAGACCCUUUUGGAUAUUGUAUGCUUUCUUUGCCAUUAUUAUUUACGUCUCAGGUUCUCCUGACUUCAAUCAGAAGUAAUGAUCUACCUAAUCUGUUACAAGGAUAUAGACAUAGAUCUACACACAUUGGGAAUUGUAGAUCAAAACAACACAUAUGCAGUACACUGACCCUUCCUCUUGUUGGAAGAAAACGUCACCACAUACUAGUACCUCGUCAGCCAUCUACCCAGUCUGAAAGCUGCCUUAAUACUGCAGUAUGACAUAGAAGUACUUCAUAAUCAAACACCACAUCACAUGCUGCUUAUCACAUAUAUAGCAAUAAUUUACACUUUAUAGACCUGGAUCUAUAUCAUGCUAACAACCUGGGAUUCUUUUCUCGUUGGAUGCUGUCAUUGACCACCACCUCCAGCUACAAAGACUCUUACAUCAUUAUAAAGUUCUACCUAACCUAUUUCAUUACAAGAUUCAUCAUCAAGCACUGCAUGGUUCCUGGUGAACCAAUUUAUCAUCAGCUACUGUUUCAACAUAAAUAAGGACCAGAGUUUUUCUGUCGUUGUAGCUGUACACAUGCAAUGAGCUUCAGUCUCGCCAUGUCACAUUAUAUCAGCAUUUCUUACCAUCUAUAACAUUUAUACUGCACAACAUACAUAUGUGCAUUAUCAGCUCAAUGGCUAUAUAUAAAAAGCCAUAUCAUAUUACAAUGAAGGACUAUCUACUAUAAAGGCACAGCACUCCACAAUUAUUCAGCCACCUAAAACAUACAAGUUGCAUUUAUUUUCAAAUACUGGUGCCAUUCUUUACUGGAUUUAUUAUUGUGUGUACUCUAUCAAACCACUAGUAUGAGUACAAAUAACAUUAGGUGCUUAUGAAAAAAAAUGCAGGCCUGAAACCUGAGAAAGACUAGAUUCCAAAUUAUUUGAACUGGUGUAGGUAAUUUUUUUUUUUUUACUUUGAAAAACUUCUUGUGUAUAAACCACAUUCAUAUAACAGCAUUAAUUAUCUUUUAACUAUUUAUUUACUUAUUAUUUGCAUGUAUUUAUAAUUAAGGGAUACUUUAUCUUAAUUUUUAGUUGUUUUGGGGCUUACAUUAAUGUCUCAAAAGUAAAAAUUGGACUUAUUAUGUCUUCGGGUGAAAUUUUUAUUUUUUUGCGCCGAGGGGGG